Cucumis sativus (cucumber) is the source of this 525-nucleotide long non-coding RNA. RefSeq lists it as uncharacterized. The record is from RefSeq and is a predicted model, not a curated record. The transcript has 2 exons. NCBI's taxonomy places the organism in Eukaryota, Viridiplantae, Streptophyta, Magnoliopsida, Cucurbitales, Cucurbitaceae.
GAAAAGAGAAGAAAGAUGGAAAAUGGAAGAGAUGAAGAGGGGGAUGUUCAAGAUGACUCGAAGUGUUGCAGAGCAGUGAUUAAAGAACAAUGGAAGAAGGUGGCGGAGGAAUUUAGUAUGGAAAAAGAAGCUGCCUUCAUUAAAGUUUGUGGUGACGAGCAACAACGAUUUAGCGUUAAAUUUGAUUUGGUUUGGGAAGUUGAUAGAUUUUGAUGAGUCGUCGUUGAAGAUGAACAAUUCACAGGACGACUUGGCUCUCUUCAUGAGCUAAUAGAACGAGCUUUGAGUGUUGAUUCUCUAUGACAUUAGUAGAACCAUUUAUCUAAUUUGUGUAAGAAUUCUCCCUUUCUUUCUCAUCCCUUAUCUUGACAAAAAUUAUUCUAAAUCACAUAACUAUUUUAUCUUUAUAAAUUUAGAAAAAUAUUACAAUCUAUAUCGGGUAGACUACGAUACAUUAAUAUAAACUCCUUCAGGAUAGAUGGUAAUAUUUUUCUAUAAUUUUGUAAAUAUUUUGAGUUUAUUUUA